UCAAAUCCAGUGCAAAUUCCUCCUCUAUCAAUCAGGAUUGUGAGCUCAUUAAACACAGUUAAUCCUUGAUACAUUUUUUUGAUGCCAGUUAUUCUAAAAAAAACCGAUGGCAGUCCUGUUGCUGGCUGAGACAGUAAGAUUGAUGAUAUGAUUUUAUGAGACUAUGGCAGUGGGUUCACACAGUCACAGAAGAUAACUGUAAUAUCCAGUUGACUAUCCAGAAUAAGUACGGCAUCAACAGUAUACUUAUCUAUGACAGAAACUCAAAGGAGUGGCCAUCUUCUUGGAUCAGCUGCUGCAAUCCCUUCACCUUCUUGUACAUUCCUGCUUCUUUCAGUUAAAUGGAUAAUUAAUUAAAGCUAAUACUUUAAACAUUGACACCACUAAAAGGGUGACUACAAAAGGGGCAACUCAUUAUAACCCCCAUUACAACUAUCUGACCAUUGCCAUUAAAUUAUACAACAUUUUUCUUAACAUUCUUUACUUAUUACUUUUUCCAGGCCUUAAUUUACUUAUUUCCAUUUGUCUGGUAUCCAUAUUUGCAUCACUCCUAUAGUUAAAGAUGUAUAGCCAUGUAGAUGUGUGCCAGAAAAAGAUAUAGGAACUUGAAUGUAUGAGCAGCUAAGUAUAUACCAAAAUGCAACCUUUGUGAACUAUGUAACACCAAAAGAUAACAUGAACAUAAAAGGCAUGUGAUUCUUAUAACUGAUAUAGCAAACUAAAUACUCACUAUAAGCUUACUUUUUCCACAGUCUGGCUCAACCAUUAACAACCAACUUUAGAAUAUGGAAGCGUUCCUAGCUCCAGCAAUAACAACCUUGACGACAUAUGCACCUCCUCAAGCAACAACCAACCAUUGCAGUUAUGCGUUUCUGAAGCAAGUUAAUAUGAUAGAAUUAGAUCAAAAUUUGUAUUUUUAAGAUAAAAUAAUCUAUAAAUCUAAAUGCUAUUUGAGGCCACAAAUUAUAAGUUUUACCUAAAUAAUAACGUACAUUUUUGAGAAAAAAAUUGGGCUAGCCCAACCACUCCUUGGUUAUACUAUUAUAAUCAUCCUUGCAAUCGACAUGCGCCUUUUAUUCCCUCCAUGGCAGCAUACAACCACCGCAUGGUGUUUACAGCAGUCCUAUGGAAAUUAGAGUGAGAAGAAUACAGGCAUGCACAAAAAAAAAGAACUAUGUUGCACAUGCUUAUACCUCACAGACUUGCUAGAAUAUCUAAAAUUUGGAUCUGGUAUAUGCAGAUAAAUAAUAUAAAAUUGAUGAGUAUCCCUAACGUCUCGACCAAUCUGUUAUCCUCAAGCUUCAGAUGUAUCCUCACGAGCCACUCCAAUUUAUGAAGCAAAGUUCAUCUGCAACUUGUUAACAAUGCGCGAACCUCUUUUUUUGUGGGAACAAUAUGUGAACCUAGAUGUACCUUGUGGUGCCAGCGAAGGUCAUGAUGGUGGGGUGCACCAGUGACUGGCUGACACAAUAUCCUGUGGCGCACACGGUGGGUGACAGAAACUCAUCGGGGCAACCGAGGCAAAACAACGAGCAUGUAGCACACAUGAACCUUGGAACAACAUAAUCCAACACUAAAUAUCCGCAAACUCCUGGAAUGUAUCUACAUUCCCGGCAGCAUAUUAUACAUAAAAUAUUUAUCGACAGUUAGACCAUAUAAGAAUCAAGAUUUGUGCCAGCAAAAAUGUGAUUAACCUAGGUUUAAUUAUAUCUCGCCAAUUUGAAAUCAAUAGACAAAGAUACCGCAUCGUAAAUUUAAGAAAUGGAAAAUGAGAACAUAUACAUUUAACUGAAUUAGACUCACUCGCUUGAGGUUGCAAUAUGGUAUCCUAGGCUGCACAAAAAGUGCAAGUAGCGCAGCCCCUUGUCCAACCCCGCGGCAAUCCUGUUCCUGGUGUCCCAACUGAGUCACCUGCACAUUAAAUUAAGGCGCGGCUAAAUAAAAAAUCCUUCGUUUAACCAAGACAAUUCAUGUAUGCGCCAUUACACAUUUAUAAGAAAAUAUACCCCAAAUUAAACUAUACAUGAACCACCUUAUGCUUGGAAAGAGCCUUCCAAUCAUCUUUUGGUCGUAUGGCUCUAGUAAGGAAGAAUCAAACUUUCCUAUCCAGAUAUGUAGAAGUGAUCCGAGCAUAC
RNAcentral lists this long non-coding RNA (2135 nucleotides) under Triticum aestivum (bread wheat). Its description in RNAcentral is "long non-coding RNA (TAES_LNC011488)". Lineage: Eukaryota; Viridiplantae; Streptophyta; Magnoliopsida; Poales; Poaceae. The record is from RNAcentral.